AACGAACGCUGGCGGCAGGCCUAACACAUGCAAGUCGAGCGGGACCUUCGGGUCUAGCGGCGGACGGGUUAGUAACGCGUGGGAACGUGCCCAAAGGUACGGAAUAGCCUCGGGAAACUGAGAGUAAUACCGUAUGUGCCCCUCGGGGGAAAGAUUUAUCGCCUUUGGAUCGGCCCGCGUUGGAUUAGGUAGUUGGUGGGGUAAUGGCCUACCAAGCCGACGAUCCAUAGCUGGUUUGAGAGGAUGAUCAGCAACACUGGGACUGAGACACGGCCCAGACUCCUACGGGAGGCAGCAGUGGGGAAUCUUAGACAAUGGGGGAAACCCUGAUCUAGCCAUGCCGCGUGAGCGAUGAAGGCCUUAGGGUUGUAAAGCUCCUUCAGAUGGGAAGAUAAUGACGGUACCAUCAGAAGAAGCCCCGGCUAACUCCGUG
This 433-nucleotide ribosomal RNA is filed under the name uncultured bacterium. RNAcentral describes it as "bacterial SSU rRNA". It matches the Rfam family "Bacterial small subunit ribosomal RNA", at positions 29 to 507 of the family's 1533-position model. The record is from RNAcentral.